GAUGAACGCUGGCGGCGUGCCUAAUACAUGCAAGUCGAGCGAACGGACGAGAAGCUUGCUUCUCUGAUGUUAGCGGCGGACGGGUGAGUAACACGUGGAUAACCUACCUAUAAGACUGGGAUAACUUCGGGAAACCGGAGCUAAUACCGGAUGAUAUUUUGAACCGCAUGGUUCAAAAGUGAAAGACGGUCUUGCUGUCACUUAUAGAUGGAUCCGCGCUGCAUUAGCUAGUUGGUAAGGUAAUGGCUUACCAAGGCAACGAUGCAUAGCCGACCUGAGAGGGUGAUCGGCCACACUGGAACUGAGACACGGUCCAGACUCCUACGGGAGGCAGCAGUAGGGAAUCUUCCGCAAUGGGCGAAAGCCUGACGGAGCAACGCCGCGUGAGUGAUGAAGGUCUUCGGAUCGUAAAACUCUGUUAUUAGGGAAGAACAUAUGUGUAAGUAACUGUGCACAUCUGGACGGUACCUAAUCAGAAAGCCACGGCUAACUACGU
RNAcentral lists this ribosomal RNA (496 nucleotides) under uncultured bacterium. Its description in RNAcentral is "partial 16S ribosomal RNA". It matches the Rfam family "Bacterial small subunit ribosomal RNA", at positions 28 to 506 of the family's 1533-position model. The record is from RNAcentral.